RNAcentral lists this ribosomal RNA (538 nucleotides) under Globigerinella siphonifera. Its description in RNAcentral is "bacterial SSU rRNA". It matches the Rfam family "Eukaryotic small subunit ribosomal RNA", at positions 1193 to 1470 of the family's 1831-position model. The record is from RNAcentral. Lineage: Eukaryota; Foraminifera; Rotaliida; Globigerinidae.
AUUUGACUCAACGCGGGGAAUCUUACCGGGGUCCGGACACACUGAGGAUUGACAGACAGUUGUCUUUCCCUCCCUUCGGGGUGGGAUUACAAAAGAUAACAGAUCUUUCAUGAUCAUGUGAUGGGUGGUGCAUGGCCGUUCUUAGUUCGUGGAGUGAUCUGUCUGCUUAAUUGCGUUUCAAAUUUUAUAUUUGUUAACAUGCGAGUCUUCAAUGACGGCCACUCCACCUUAUAGACAUUAUAUGAUAUGCACAUUUGUGUAUUUGAUUAUAACUUGUCUGGAGUCUGGCUCGAUUUUUUUGACUCAAUUGAACGCAACGGACGUGAUUGCAAGUCCUUGUUGAACAAAUUAUAUAUAUACUACUUCAUCAUUAGUAUAUAUAGUUCGCUUCUCAUGUCGUAGCAGUCAAACGGGCGGGCGUCUUAAUUGGCGCGGUCACGAGGCUUAAUAUGCUGCGGCUGGGGAAAACUUGGGCGACCGCUGUAAUACUUCUCUCUUAAACCAGAGGAAGAUUGCGGCAAUAACAGGUCUGUGAUGC